RNAcentral lists this ribosomal RNA (880 nucleotides) under Salmonella enterica subsp. enterica serovar Infantis. RNAcentral's name for it is "partial 23S ribosomal RNA". The record is from RNAcentral. Lineage: Bacteria; Pseudomonadati; Pseudomonadota; Gammaproteobacteria; Enterobacterales; Enterobacteriaceae.
UUAGUGGAAGCGUCUGGAAAGGCGCGCGAUACAGGGUGACAGCCCCGUACACAAAAGCGCAUGUGCUGUGAGCUCGAUGAGUAGGGCGGGACACGUGGUAUCCUGUCUGAAUAUGGGGGGACCAUCCUCCAAGGCUAAAUACUCCUGACUGACCGAUAGUGAACCAGUACCGUGAGGGAAAGGCGAAAAGAACCCCGGCGAGGGGAGUGAAAAAGAACCUGAAACCGUGUACGUACAAGCAGUGGGAGCACAGGUUUACCUGUGUGACUGCGUACCUUUUGUAUAAUGGGUCAGCGACUUAUAUUCUGUAGCAAGGUUAACCGAAUAGGGGAGCCGGAGGGAAACCGAGUCUUAAYYGGGCGUUAAGUUGCAGGGUAUAGACCCGAAACCCGGUGAUCUAGCCAUGGGCAGGUUGAAGGUUGGGUAACACUAACUGGAGGACCGAACCGACUAAUGUUGAAAAAUUAGCGGAUGACCUGUGGCUGGGGGUGAAAGGCCAAUCAAACCGGGAGAUAGCUGGUUCUCCCCGAAAGCUAUUUAGGUAGCGCCUCGUGAAUUCAUCUCCGGGGGUAGAGCACUGUUUCGGCUAGGGGGCCAUCCCGGCUUACCAACCCGAUGCAAACUGCGAAUACCGGAGAAUGUUAUCACGGGAGACACACGGCGGGUGCUAACGUCCGUCGUGAAGAGGGAAACAACCCAGACCGCCAGCUAAGGUCCCAAAGUCAUGGUUAAGUGGGAAACGAUGUGGGAAGGCCCAGACAGCCAGGAUGUUGGCUUAGAAGCAGCCAUCAUUUAAAGAAAGCGUAAUAGCUCACUGGUCGAGUCGGCCUGCGCGGAAGAUGUAACGGGGCUAAACCAUGCACCGAAGCUGCGGCAGCGA